GAUGAACGCUGGCGGCGUGCUUAACACAUGCAAGUCGAACGAUGAAGCCCAGCUUGCUGGGUGGAUUAGUGGCGAACGGGUGAGUAACACGUGAGUAACCUGCCCUUAACUCUGGGAUAAGCCUGGGAAACUGGGUCUAAUACCGGAUAGGGGCGUCCACCGCAUGGUGGGUGUUGGAAAGAUUUAUCGGUUUUGGAUGGACUCGCGGCCUAUCAGCUUGUUGGUGAGGUAAUGGCUCACCAAGGCGACGACGGGUAGCCGGCCUGAGAGGGUGACCGGCCACACUGGGACUGAGACACGGCCCAGACUCCUACGGGAGGCAGCAGUGGGGAAUAUUGCACAAUGGGCGCAAGCCUGAUGCAGCGACGCCGCGUGAGGGAUGACGGCCUUCGGGUUGUAAACCUCUUUCAGUAGGGAAGAAGCGAAAGUAACGGUACCUGCAGAAGAAGCACCGGCUAACUACGUG
Molecule: ribosomal RNA, 466 nt
Filed under: uncultured bacterium
Lineage: Bacteria
Description: partial 16S ribosomal RNA
Rfam family: Bacterial small subunit ribosomal RNA
Source: RNAcentral